RNAcentral lists this ribosomal RNA (496 nucleotides) under uncultured bacterium. RNAcentral's name for it is "partial 16S ribosomal RNA". It matches the Rfam family "Bacterial small subunit ribosomal RNA", at positions 28 to 507 of the family's 1533-position model. The record is from RNAcentral.
GAUGAACGCUGGCGGCGUGCCUAAUACAUGCAAGUCGAGCGAACGGACGAGAAGCUUGCUUCUCUGAUGUUAGCGGCGGACGGGUGAGUAACACGUGGAUAACCUACCUAUAAGACUGGGAUAACUUCGGGAAACCGUAGCUAAUACCGGAUAAUAUUUUGAACCGCAUGGUUCAAAAGUGAAAGACGGUCUUGCUGUCACUUAUAUAUGGAUCCGCGCUGCAUUAGCUAGUUGGUAAGGUAACGGCUUACCAAGGCAACGAUGCAUAGCCGACCUGAGAGGGUGAUCGGCCACACUGGAACUGAGACACGGUCCAGACUCCUACGGAGGCAGCAGUAGGGAAUCUUCCGCAAUGGGCGAAAGCCUGACGGAGCAACGCCGCGUGAGUGAUGAAGGUCUUCGGAUCGUAAAACUCUGUUAUUAGGGAAGAACAUAUGUGUAAGUAACUGUGCACAUCUUGACGGUACCUAAUCAGAAAGCCACGGCUAACUACGUG